RNAcentral lists this long non-coding RNA (1949 nucleotides) under Olea europaea subsp. europaea. The record is from RNAcentral. Lineage: Eukaryota; Viridiplantae; Streptophyta; Magnoliopsida; Lamiales; Oleaceae.
CAGGGAAAUUGAAAACACUCAAAACAACUCAUUUUCCAUUAUUGUGCGUGAGAGCAGAGAACCAAGGAAAACCUGCUGCCUUCUUCCUCAACAAUAGACCACCACCCGCCACCUAGAAGACCAGAUUUCACAACCAUUCGAACCCCUUCACCUCCCUCUUCAAGCUCUUGUCAUCACCUGGCCACGGAGUUGCCCAAAACAGCCCCAAUCAUCACCCAAAACCGCACUACCAGUCACGAUUUUCACCGUAUUUUCACCGUCGUCGGCCACCGUUUCAAGCGCGGACCACCACCACUCUACACCUGUCAACCAGGCGUAUCCAAUACCACCAUGGGUCACCUACAAUUUUGUCUAGAUUCGAGUGAGCUUGUGAAAGUAGUCCGUGAGUUGUGGCAGAUUUGGUCCCAACAAAAUUGAUGAAAUUUUAUUUAUACAAACAAUCAAUUCUACUUUCCAAACAUCAAGGUUGGUUUUUUGAAUGGGUUGGGUUUAGUUUUUGCACAUUUAUUUAUGGUUUCUUGUAUGUUAUUGAAUUUUUUGGCUACUUACUGUUAUUGAAAUUUUCGAAAUUGGAUGUUGAAAAUGAGGUGACUUUCAUUAUCUUGUUGGCUACUUAAUGUUUCUUAAGGAGUCUGCAAACUAUUAGUCUUAGUUUGGAUAAGAAAUUGUUGAAAUCUUUCUGUUGGAGAUAGGUCUCAUUAUCAGAUGAAUGAGAUUGAAUUCAAAUCACUGGGAAUUGGCUUUGAGUAAUCUGUAAAUGCCACUCGUGGUGGUGGAUUGCUUAAUUUGCUUCAGAAGAAUGCAAUUCAAUAUCAAACAAAUUCUUUCCAUAAAUCAUAACUAUGAAAAUAUAUACUGCAAGUAUAGAUUAUUUUGGAAAAGCUGUGAGAUGUCUCUUCCCCAGUAUGUGUAAGUAAUUUUUGUUCAUGAAUGAUGAGAAACGUUUGAAGUUGGUUGCCUCUCAUUGAAUUUGAUUAAGGAGGAAAGAUUGAUAAUCCAAUGUUAAUUGAUGAAAGGUCAUGAUACUAAACAAAUAGAUCAAGAUUAGGACUCGAGAAAUUAGAUAGAGUCAAGGAUUAAACGGAAGUAGUUGUUAAUCCGAUGCAACAAUUGGAUUAUAGAGCGCAUCAAGAGAGGGAACUGAAGUUCACGACUGCUGGCUGGAAGCGUGACUGCCAUGGCAGGUGGUUUAAGGAUGAAAAUGUAAGCUUUAAUUUCUGACUUCAUGUUUAAUUGGUAAUACUGUACAAAUUUUUGGUUUAACUUGCAGCGAUAAAUUUGAGGGCAAUUUUAUUAUUUUCUGUUGUCAUAGUAUAUUUGCUUCUACAUAAUAAAAUUUUAAUAGAAUAAAUCAUUUCAAUUUGGUAGAGGUCUGUAUGAUGGUUUCAUUUGCUUGCAGGUUGAGUUUGACUCUAAUGCACAUAUGAGGGAUUCUUGAUUUUUCAUCUAUUAACAUGCAAACAUAUUGGAAUUCUAUGCAUCUAGGAAAUGACCAGCAAUUACAUUUCAUGCUGGUGUGUGCCAUCACAAUUUGUAUAUUACAAGGAAACUAUUUUCAGCCUUUCUAACUGAAUAUUGACAAGUGACAAUUGGAUGAGUUUGGUCUUCUUGUAGUAUUCUGUCUCUCAAUGUCAUUUUGAGCUUCUUUUGGGCAUGUAUGAUAUGUGUAGAUAAAUUAGAAGAUGCUUUGAGGUUGGUUGACUAAGCUCGAAGUUUUUUGGUGCUAGUUGAACAAGUUUGAAUUUUUUUUGAUGGGAAUGGAUUUCGACUAUUUCUGUUUGAAUUUGUAUUUAUUAUUUCCCCAGCAUCGUAUUGAAAAAUGCCGUGCAAAGCUAAAACCUUGUAGAAGGUUACUUUUGGGUUCAUGUAGCUUUGUCAUGCCUUGUUGGGAGGCACCUUUACUUUGAAGUUCUCGUAAUUUGAGACGAACAUAAGCUUGUCAAGUGUCG